CCGAAUGGUUCACGAAAUAUCGUCGUUUUUAUGGCGAAAUUUGUCCCAUAGGAAUGGAUGGCGGAAUGUUCAAAACUAGAGUGGGAGCUGACAAAAGCUAGAGUGUGAGCUGAAAACUCAUGACAUGAUUUCUAAACUGCCACCACUCCCUUAUUUUCAAGCCCACCUACACAAAUCUUAUAUCCAAACGUUCAGCUAUCCCUGCUGCCACUAAAAAUGUCCAC
Non-coding RNA from Pelobates cultripes (western spadefoot toad), 224 nucleotides. NCBI's taxonomy places the organism in Eukaryota, Metazoa, Chordata, Amphibia, Anura, Pelobatidae. The record is from the annotation of a GenBank genome assembly.